AGCAGCCGCAUUGUUGGUGCUCUGGGGACGCUCACUGAUAGCGGCACUUGCAACCUCAAUUUGGACCCAAGUUUUAGUAGUUCUCAAAAUUUAAUUUGAAGAUAAAGUUUUUGAAUGCAGCAGCAGUCGAGCGGUAGUCUACGGGCACCAUGAAUAUUAUACGUCGCAGUGUUUGGAGCAAUGGUUUUGUGUGUGUAUACAAUUUCCCGACGGAGUCUUGGCUUGACUUUUGUCGUGAAACGUCGAAAAUACAUACAUCCUGUGGAGCCGAGGCAAAUUCGUUUCGAAUUACAAUAAUUAUUAUUAUGAUGUUCCAUAUUUUGAGAAAGAAGAAUUCGAUUAUGUGCUCAAGUGCGUAGCUUGUUCAUGUUGUCAAUACAUCAAUUAAGUCAGAAGAAUAUCCAACCAGCUGUUAACUGGCACGAUCAGAAGGCAGACCCUUUCAACUUUCAUGGAUCCUGGAAAGGAGGGAGGAGCAGCUAUGGCAUUGUGCCGCCUGCAACGACGCCUAUUCUCAAACCAAGUAGUAAGUAAGUAAUAAAUUCGUUCUGAAUUCGCCUUCUUUGGCCUCUAGCAGCGAUGACGUGUAGUGGAGGUCCGCCGUGGAUUCAGUGUGAGGGAGAAAAUAUGUACGUGAUCUGACCGCGGAAUCGUCAUGAGCUCAACGACACGUUCACCUGCCUGCCUCUGUUGGUGAGAAAUCGCAGGAGAAGAUGAGGCUGAGAAAGGAAUUAUGGCCGGAUUGACCACAUACUUGGAUCAAAGUGGCGGCAGUCAGCUCAGACUCAGACCAUAUUUGCUGGGAACAAGGCCUAUAAGCCGACGGUGUCAACAAGACGUACUUCAAGCCCGAGUCCAACACCAGAGCCAGUGUAGAAGCAAUGAGUCAGUGAGAACUGAGCGCAGGAAAGGAAUGGAUGACAGUCUGUAUCGUUGCGGUUGAAGGUGAAGGACUGCCAGCUGCAUACCUCUCUGAACUUCUUCACCAUGAACGUCGGAUCGGCGAUUUCAUCAUCUGUCAGCCUCGAGGGUUUGCCUGGGAGGAGCAGUACAUCAUGACAUCACAAUGCGGUCAACUGGAACAUUCUUUGCUUCGAUUCCAAUAAUGACUCAGGCUUCUAAAACCGGCACAGCAUUUGCACCCAACACAAUGUCAAGUGUCAAGCUGCGAGUGAGAAAGUCAGACUUGAAAUUAUAUGACUUUCGGUUCAUAUUUCAGUUAUCAUACAUGUUGAUAAGGAAUGCUCACAAAAUAUGCAGUCUUACAUUUCAGAUCACAAUGUAUGGGUCCUGACAUUGACAGGUCCUGUAUUUUUUGGUCUUCUAAACAAAAGUUUUGGAUUAACAAAACUAUGAACUAAAAGCUUAAAAUCAAAUGCCCAUUUUGAAAGCUUCAUGUUUUAGAAUGCAUUGUGUUUAGAAUGAAGUCUUUACAGCACACUAAAACCACUAUGCUAGCACCUGUAGUUAAUUUCCAACUUUUUUUCAGUCUGGCUUCAUACCAAUUUGGAGAGGAAGUUUUUUUGUAAGUGUCUACAUCAUUAUGAUUAUAAUACUGACUCAGAAAUCAGGCAUUUCCAUGAGUUUCACUCAAAAGUAAUGUGCUGCCUGACAAAAUGAUGUCAAGAAAUUGCAGAUACAUUUUAAAGAACAUGAUUGGAAGUGAAUGUUCAUUGUGAAGAGUGGAGAGUUGAUUUAAAGGAAAUAAAGAGAUGUGUCCUGAGGCGGAGGAAUCAAAAGCUCUUGUCAAUUGUGAGGAAAGUAAAGCCCAUUUCCACCUUCA
Molecule: long non-coding RNA, 1783 nt
Organism: Aplysia californica (California sea hare)
Lineage: Eukaryota; Metazoa; Mollusca; Gastropoda; Aplysiida; Aplysiidae
Exons: 4
Source: RefSeq, a predicted model, not a curated record